GCACAAUCAAAAGUCCACGACAGUAAUCAAGUCACCAGGCCUGUUCCUGGAGAUGAUUCCUCCUGAAGACUUUAGCUCCAACCAUAAUGCUGCCCACCUGACCAUCUAAUCUCUGCCUAAAGAAGUUCUCGAUCAACUAAAACAGGUGUGUUAGAUUUUGGUUGGCGAUGAAACCUGCAGGACGACGGAUCUCAGGGAAGCGUGCUGGUCGAAGAGGUAAAGCUGGACCGGAUCCGACUCCUCCUAUAACCCAGCAUUCUGUGUGCUGUGUGUUUAUUGCUGUGCGUUUGACCGUACAAAUAAACCGACAGCAAAUGCUUUUUGUGAUCAAAGUCUUCCUGCUUGGACCCCCUGUUUGAAAAUUCUGAGUUCUCACAGCUUUCAAGUGUGUUUGUGUGUGUGUAUAGUAUAUGUGUGUAUGUGUAUGUACAGUUUGCGUAUGUACAGUGUGUGUUUGUAUUGUGUGUAUGUACAGUGUGUGUGUACAGUGUGUGUGUGUGCAGUGUGUGUGUACAGUGUGUGUGUGUGCAGUGUGUGUGUAUCUACAGUGUGUGUAUGUACAGUAUGUAUGUCUGUGUACAGUAUGUGUGUGAAUGUACAGUGUGUGUGAAUGUACAGUGAGUGUAAGUACAUACAGUGAGUGUGUGAAUGUACAGUGUGUGUGAACGUACAGUGUGUGUGAACGUACAGUGUGUGUGUGUGUACAGUGUGUGUGUGUGUACAGUAGUGUGUGUGUGUACAGUGUGUGUGUGGGUGCACUGCAGAGAGCGCCUCUAAUGCCGCAAACAAGCACUGCUAAUCUGCCUUCUCA
Ictalurus punctatus (channel catfish) is the source of this 811-nucleotide long non-coding RNA. The record is from Ensembl. NCBI's taxonomy places the organism in Eukaryota, Metazoa, Chordata, Actinopteri, Siluriformes, Ictaluridae.